AUGUUUGAUGUUCUAACGUUGGCCCGUAAUCCGGGUUGCGGACAGUGUCUGGUGGGUAGUUUGACUGGGGCGGUCUCCUCCUAAAGAGUAACGGAGGAGCACGAAGGUUGGCUAAUCCUGGUCGGACAUCAGGAGGUUAGUGCAAUGGCAUAAGCCAGCUUGACUGCGAGCGUGACGGCGCGAGCAGGUGCGAAAGCAGGUCAUAGUGAUCCGGUGGUUCUGAAUGGAAGGGCCAUCGCUCAACGGAUAAAAGGUACUCCGGGGAUAACAGGCUGAUACCGCCCAAGAGUUCAUAUCGACGGCGGUGUUUGGCACCUCGAUGUCGGCUCAUCACAUCCUGGGGCUGAAGUAGGUCCCAAGGGUAUGGCUGUUCGCCAUUUAAAGUGGUACGCGAGCUGGGUUUAGAACGUCGUGAGACAGUUCGGUCCCUAUCUGCCGUGGGCGCUGGAGAACUGAGGGGGGCUGCUCCUAGUACGAGAGGACCGGAGUGGACGCAUCACUGGUGUUCGGGUUGUCAUGCCAAUGGCACUGCCCGGUAGCUAAAUGCGGAAGAGAUAAGUGCUGAAAGCAUCUAAGCACGAAACUUGCCCCGAGAUGAGUUCUCCCUGACUCCUUGAGAGUCCUGAAGGAACGUUGAAGACGACGACGUUGAUAGGCCGGGUGUGUAAGCGCAGCGAUGCGUUGAGCUAACCGGUACUAAUGAACCGUGAGGCUUAACCUUACAACGCCGAAG
Molecule: ribosomal RNA, 733 nt
Filed under: Escherichia coli
Lineage: Bacteria; Pseudomonadati; Pseudomonadota; Gammaproteobacteria; Enterobacterales; Enterobacteriaceae
Description: partial 23S ribosomal RNA
Rfam family: Bacterial large subunit ribosomal RNA
Source: RNAcentral